UAGAACUAGGCUGGAAUACUAUCAAUAGCACCAAUCUAUUGGCAUUGGUGCUAUUGAUAUUUUAGCCCUCGAAUUGAGAAAUGGAUGGUUAGGAUGAUGUGGGUCCACUAAAAUUGAGUGAGUGGUUGGUUGAAUAGUAUAAUCUAACGAGUAAAAAUAAUCAAAUGAUUAAAUCUAACGAAAAACUCGAUAGCACCAAAUCCUUGGUGCUAUCAAUAGCACCACAGCCGGACUCUCUCUCUCUCUCUCUCUCUCUCUCUCUCUCUCUCUCUCUCCAUAUAUAUAUAUAUAUAUAUAUAUAUAUGAAUUAAGCUAGAAUACUUUUAGAAGCACCAACCCCUUGGUGCUUCUAAGUUUCUAACUCUUGAAUCUACUCCUUGAUUACUAAUAACAUUUGGAUCAAACAUUAUUCCACCUACCACCACCUACUACCAUCAUUACAACCCUACAUCUUUCCAUCCAAAGGCUAAAAACUCAAAAGCACCAACCCCUUGGCGCUUUUGGGAGU
RNAcentral lists this long non-coding RNA (508 nucleotides) under Ananas comosus (pineapple). RNAcentral's name for it is "long non-coding RNA (ACOM_LNC024994)". Lineage: Eukaryota; Viridiplantae; Streptophyta; Magnoliopsida; Poales; Bromeliaceae. The record is from RNAcentral.